This 406-nucleotide transfer-messenger RNA is filed under the name Anaerolineae. RNAcentral's name for it is "JACKBM01 sp020634575 Standard tmRNA". It matches the Rfam family "transfer-messenger RNA". Rfam says of the family: Bacterial tmRNA, also known as 10Sa RNA or SsrA, is named for its dual tRNA and mRNA-like properties. RNAcentral also lists the same sequence under 2 other names. The record is from RNAcentral. Lineage: Bacteria; Bacillati; Chloroflexota.
GGGGAUGACUGGCUUCGACGAGGAAGGAUGGUCCCGAACUGCAAGCCGAGUACGCCUACAUCUCGUAAAUCUGGGGCAACAACUAUAAGUGCCAACAAUAGCACUAACUACAACGCGCUUCCUAUGGCUGCGUAAGCCAAUAGAGGCGUAGAUUCCCAAAGUGGAAUCGCGUCUGGCCCGUUUCGCUCGUUGUCCGAGCGGGCCCAGGCGACAGUCACCGGCAACGUGCUCAGCGCCGACGUCGAUAGGCGCUGCUAAGAGACCCUUUAGGGGGUCAUCGACUGGUCGUUUGAUCUACCCUGUCAGCUGGGGACGUCGGCGACGAGAAACAAAUAGCUGACUAAGCUUGUAGACGUUUGGAGGCUUAAUUUUUCGGACGCGGGUUCGAUUCCCGCCAUCUCCACCU